RNAcentral lists this transfer RNA (87 nucleotides) under Deltaproteobacteria bacterium. RNAcentral's name for it is "tRNA-Ser". It matches the Rfam family "tRNA". From Rfam's summary of the family: Transfer RNA (tRNA) molecules are approximately 80 nucleotides in length. Their secondary structure includes four short double-helical elements and three loops (D, anti-codon, and T loops). The record is from RNAcentral. Lineage: Bacteria; Pseudomonadati; Myxococcota; Myxococcia.
GGAGAGAUGGCUGAGAGGCCGAAAGCGCCUCAUUGCUAAUGAGGUGAGUGGGUAACCGCUCCGGGGGUUCGAAUCCCCCUCUCUCCG